UACGUAGGGUGCGAGCGUUGCCCGGAUUUAUUGGUCGUAAAGGGCGCGUAGGCGGCCACGCACGUCCGUUGUGAAAUCGCCCGGCUCAACUGGGCGGGGUCAGCGGAUACGGUGUGGCUAGAGCAAGCUAGGGGGCAAUGGAAUUCCCGGUGUAGUGGUGGAAUGCGUAGAUAUCGGGAGGAACACCAGUGGCGAAGGCGGUUGCCUGGAGCUUUGCUGACGCUGAUGCGCGAAAGCGUGGGGAGCGAUCCGG
RNAcentral lists this ribosomal RNA (253 nucleotides) under uncultured bacterium. RNAcentral describes it as "partial 16S ribosomal RNA". It matches the Rfam family "Bacterial small subunit ribosomal RNA", at positions 524 to 776 of the family's 1533-position model. The record is from RNAcentral.